UGUACGAUGGGGAUGCUUUCCAUUAGGUAGUAGGCGGGGUAACGGCCCACCUAUCCAACGAUGGAUAGGGGUUCUGAGAGGAAGGUCCCCCACAUUGGAACUGAGACACGGUCCAAACUCCUACGGGAGGCAGCAGUGAGGAAUAUUGGUCAAUGGACGAGAGUCUGAACCAGCCAAGUAGCGUGAAGGAUGAAGGUCCUACGGAUUGUAAACUUCUUUUAUAAGGGAAUAAACCCUCCCACGUGUGGGAGCUUGUAUGUACCUUAUGAAUAAGCAUCGGCUAACUCCGUGCCAGCAGCCGCGGUAAUACGGAGGAUGCGAGCGUUAUCCGGAUUUAUUGGGUUUAAAGGGAGCGCAGACGGGUCGUUAAGUCAGCUGUGAAAGUUUGGGGCUCAACCUUAAAAUUGCAGUUGAUACUGGCGUCCUUGAGUGCGGUU
Molecule: ribosomal RNA, 437 nt
Filed under: uncultured bacterium
Lineage: Bacteria
Description: bacterial SSU rRNA
Rfam family: Bacterial small subunit ribosomal RNA
Source: RNAcentral